This 460-nucleotide ribosomal RNA is filed under the name uncultured bacterium. RNAcentral's name for it is "partial 16S ribosomal RNA". It matches the Rfam family "Bacterial small subunit ribosomal RNA", at positions 338 to 795 of the family's 1533-position model. The record is from RNAcentral.
CCUACGGGAGGCAGCAGUGAGGAAUAUUGGUCAAUGGACGAGAGUCUGAACCAGCCAAGUAGCGUGAAGGAUGACUGCCCUAUGGGUUGUAAACUUCUUUUAUAUGGGAAUAAAAUGUUCCACGUGUGGGAUUUUGUAUGUACCAUAUGAAUAAGGAUCGGCUAACUCCUUGCCAGCAGCCGCGGUAAUACGGAGGAUCCGAGCGUUAUCCGGAUUUAUUUGGUUUAACGGGAGCGUAGGUGGAUUGUUAAGUCAGUUGUGAAAGUUUGCGGCUCAACCGUAAAAUUGCAGUUGAAACUGGCAGUCUUGAGUACAGUAGAGGUGGGCGGAAUUCGUGGUGUAGCGGUGAAAUGCUUAGAUAUCACGAAGAACUCCGAUUGCGAAGGCAGCUCACUGGACUGCAACUGACACUGAGGCUCGAAAGUGUGGGUAUCAAACAGGAUUAGAUACCCUAGUAGUC